Molecule: small RNA, 59 nt
Filed under: Paramuricea clavata
Lineage: Eukaryota; Metazoa; Cnidaria; Anthozoa; Malacalcyonacea; Plexauridae
Source: RNAcentral
CUCUAAAAACGGUAAACAUUUUGAAAAGCGUUUAUUCAAAAUGUUUACCGUUUUCGGAG